AUUGAACGCUAGCGGGAUGCCUUACACAUGCAAGUCGAACGGAGUGGCGAACGGGUGAGUAAUGUAUCGGAACGUGCCCAGUAGCGGGGGAUAACUACGCGAACGCGUAGCUAAUACCGCAUACUCUUGGAGCGGCCUCUACCGGAUUGGCGAGUUGGUGGGGUAACGGCUCACCAAGGCGACGAUCCGUAGCUGGUUUGGGGGGACGACCAGCCACACUGGGACUGAGACACGGCCCAGACUCCGACGGGAGGCAGCAGUGGGGAAUUUUGGACAAUGGGGGAAACCCUGAUGCAGCCAUCCCGCGUGUGCGAUGAAGGCCUUCGGGUUGUAAAGCACUUUUGGCAGGAAAGCGGUACCUGCAGAAUAAGCACCGGCUAACUACGUGCCAGCAGCCGCGGUAAUUC
This 407-nucleotide ribosomal RNA is filed under the name uncultured bacterium. RNAcentral's name for it is "partial 16S ribosomal RNA". It matches the Rfam family "Bacterial small subunit ribosomal RNA", at positions 30 to 526 of the family's 1533-position model. The record is from RNAcentral.